AACAAGCUUGCUUGUUGGGGUUGUAGGACACUCUAUACGGAGUUACAAAGGACGACAUUAGACGAAUCAUCUGGAAAGAUGAAUCAAAGAAGGUAAUAAUCCUGUAGUCGAAAAUGUUGUCUCUCUUGAGUGGAUCCUGAGUACGACGGAGCACGUGAAAUUCCGUCGGAAUCUGGGAGGACCAUCUCCUAAGGCUAAAUACUCUCUAGUGACCGAUAGUGAACCAGUACCGUGAGGGAAAGGUGAAAAGCACCCCGGAAGGGGAGUGAAAUAGAACCUGAAACCGUGUGCUUACAAGUAGUCAGAGCCCGUUAAUGGGUGAUGGCGUGCCUUUUGUAGAAUGAACCGGCGAGUUACGAUUUGAUGCAAGGUUAAGCAGUAAAUGUGGAGCCGUAGCGAAAGCGAGUCUGAAUAGGGCGUUUAGUAUUUGGUCGUAGACCCGAAACCAGGUGAUCUACCCUUGGUCAGGUUGAAGUUCAGGUAACACUGAAUGGAGGACCGAACCGACUUACGUUGAAAAGUGAGCGGAUGAACUGAGGGUAGCGGAGAAAUUCCAAUCGAACCUGGAGAUAGCUGGUUCUCUCCGAAAUAGCUUUAGGGCUAGCCUCAAGUGAUGAUUAUUGGAGGUAGAGCACUGUUUGGACGAGGGGCCCCUCUCGGGUUACCGAAUUCAGACAAACUCCGAAUGCCAAUUAAUUUAACUUGGGAGUCAGAACAUGGGUGAUAAGGUCCGUGUUCGAAAGGGAAACAGCCCAGACCACCAGCUAAGGUCCCAAAAUAUAUGUUAAGUGGAAAAGGAUGUGGCGUUGCCCAGACAACUAGGAUGUUGGCUUAGAAGCAGCCAUCAUUUAAAGAGUGCGUAAUAGCUCACUAGUCGAGUGACACUGCGCCGAAAAUGUACCGGGGCUAAACAUAUUACCGAAGCUGUGGAUUGUCCUUUGGACAAUGGUAGGAGAGCGUUCUAAGGGCGUUGAAGCAUGAUCGCAAGGACAUGUGGAGCGCUUAGAAGUGAGAAUGCCGGUGUGAGUAGCGAAAGACGGGUGAGAAUCCCGUCCACCGAUUGACUAAGGUUUCCAGAGGAAGGCUCGUCCGCUCUGGGUUAGUCGGGUCCUAAGCUGAGGCCGACAGGCGUAGGCGAUGGAUAACAGGUUGAUAUUCCUGUACCACCUAUAAUCGUUUUAAUCGAUGGGGGGACGCAGUAGGAUAGGCGAAGCGUGCGAUUGGAUUGCACGUCUAAGCAGUAAGGCUGAGUAUUAGGCAAAUCCGGUACUCGUUAAGGCUGAGCUGUGAUGGGGAGAAGACAUUGUGUCUUCG
RNAcentral lists this ribosomal RNA (1314 nucleotides) under Staphylococcus aureus. Its description in RNAcentral is "partial 23S ribosomal RNA". It matches the Rfam family "Bacterial large subunit ribosomal RNA", at positions 276 to 1587 of the family's 2925-position model. Lineage: Bacteria; Bacillati; Bacillota; Bacilli; Caryophanales; Staphylococcaceae. The record is from RNAcentral.